RNAcentral lists this ribosomal RNA (839 nucleotides) under uncultured bacterium. Its description in RNAcentral is "bacterial SSU rRNA". It matches the Rfam family "Bacterial small subunit ribosomal RNA", at positions 43 to 906 of the family's 1533-position model. The record is from RNAcentral.
GGUGCUAACACAUGCAAGUCGCACGAGAAAGGGGAGCAUCCCUGAGUACAGUGGCGCACGGGCGAGUAACACGUGAAUGAUCUACCUCCGAGUGGGGAAUAACUGAGAGAAAUCUUGGCUAAUACCGCAUAAUCCCCACGGGUCAAAGCAGCAAUGCGCUUGGAGAGGAGUUCGCGGCCGAUUAGCUAGUUGGCGGGGUAAUGGCCCACCAAGGCGAUGAUCGGUAUCCGGCCUGAGAGGGCGCACGGACACACUGGAACUGAAACACGGUCCGGACUCCUACGGGAGACAGCAGUGGGGAAUUUUGCGCAAUGGGGGAAACCCUGACGCAGCAACGCCGCGUGGAGGAUGAAGCCCCUUGGGGUGUAAACCUCCUUUCGAUCGGGAAGAUAAUGACGGUACCGAUAUAAGAAGCCCCGGCUAACUUCGUGCCAGCAGCCGCGGUAAUACGAGGGGGGCAAGCGUUGUUCGGAAUUAUUGGGCGUAAAGGGUGCGUAGGCGGUUUGACAAGUCUGAUGUGAAAUCUAUGGGCUCAAGCCAUAGUCUGCGUCGGAAACUGUCGGGCUUGAGUAUGGGAGAGGUGAGUGGAAUUUCCCGGUGUAGCGGUGAAAUUGCGUAGAUAUCGGAAGGAACACCUGUGGGCGAAAGCGGGUCACUGGGACCAUUACUGACGCUGAGGCACGAAAGGCUAGGGGAGCAAACAGGGAUUACGAUACCCUGGUAGUCCUAGCCCUAAAACGAUGAUCGUCGAUGUGGCAGGUACCCAAUUCUGGCGGUGUCGAAAGGCUAACGGCGAUUAACCAUUCCGCUGUGGAGUACGGCGCAAGGUGAACUCCAAG